GUGUGAAAGAGCCUUGGGCAUAUAAACUUGCAGCCUUUAGAGCCUUACUCCAAAGAAUAAUGAUACACUGCACUACAUUCACAAGUGCAAAUGAAGAAUUAAAUUGGAUUGUAAGACAAGCAAUGUGCCAUGGUUAUAAAGAGCAUUUGAUUUUGAAUAUGUGGGCAAAAAUCUCGGAAAAGUAUAACCGCAACUUAAGGAGAGAUAGGGACCAAUCUGAGACAAGUGAUCAUCGCGAGAAGAAGUUUUUUAAUGUAAAUUUGAAUCUGAUCACUUUGAAGUAAAAGAAGAAAAUAGAGAGAGCCUCAGGUGCCAAAAUGUGCUUAAA
RNAcentral lists this long non-coding RNA (328 nucleotides) under Androctonus crassicauda. Lineage: Eukaryota; Metazoa; Arthropoda; Arachnida; Scorpiones; Buthidae. The record is from RNAcentral.